AACGAACGCUGGCGGCAUGCCUAACACAUACAAGUCGAACGAGACCUUCGGGUCUAGUGGCGCACGGGUGCGUAACGCGUGGGAACCUGCCCUUAGGUUCGGAAUAACUCCCCGAAAGGGGUGCUAAUACCGGAUAAUGUCUUCGGACCAAAGAUUUAUCGCCUCUGGAUGGGCCCGCGUUGGAUUAGCUAGUUGGUAGGGUAAAAGCCUACCAAGGCGACGAUCCAUAGCUGGUCUGAGAGGAUGAUCAGCCACACUGGGACUGAGACACGGCCCAGACUCCUACGGGAGGCAGCAGUGGGGAAUAUUGGACAAUGGGCGAAAGCCUGAUCCAGCAAUGCCGCGUGAGUGAUGAAGGCCUUAGGGUUGUAAAGCUCUUUUACCCGGGAUGAUAAUGACAGUACCGGGAGAAUAAGCUCCGGCUAACUCCGUG
This 433-nucleotide ribosomal RNA is filed under the name uncultured bacterium. RNAcentral describes it as "partial 16S ribosomal RNA". It matches the Rfam family "Bacterial small subunit ribosomal RNA", at positions 29 to 507 of the family's 1533-position model. The record is from RNAcentral.